Molecule: ribosomal RNA, 484 nt
Filed under: uncultured bacterium
Lineage: Bacteria
Description: partial 16S ribosomal RNA
Rfam family: Bacterial small subunit ribosomal RNA
Source: RNAcentral
AUUGAACGCUGGCGGCAGGCCUAACACAUGCAAGUCGAGCGGAUGAAGGGAGCUUGCUCCUGGAUUCAGCGGCGGACGGGUGAGUAAUGCCUAGGAAUCUGCCUGGUAGUGGGGGAUAACGUCCGGAAACGGGCGCUAAUACCGCAUACGUCCUGAGGGAGAAAGUGGGGGAUCUUCGGACCUCACGCUAUCAGAUGAGCCUAGGUCGGAUUAGCUAGUUGGUGGGGUAAAGGCCUACCAAGGCGACGAUCCGUAACUGGUCUGAGAGGAUGAUCAGUCACACUGGAGCUGAGACACGGUCCAGACUCCUACGGGAGGCAGCAGUGGGGAAUGUUGGACAAUAGGCGAAAGCCUGAUCCAACCAUGCCGCGUGUGUGGAGAAGGUCUUCGGAUUGUAAAGCACUUUAAGUUGGGAGGAAGGGCAGUAAGUUAAUACCUUGCUGUUGUGACGUUACCAGCAGAAUAAGCACCGGCUAACUUCGUG